UACAGAGGUCUCGAGCGUUGUUCGGAUUUAUUGGGCGUAAAGGGUGCGUAGGCGGCGAGCUAAGUUUGGUGUGAAAUCCUGGGGCUUAACCUCAGAAAUGCACUGAAUACUGGUUUGCUAGAGGACUGGAGAGGAGAUUGGAAUUCACGGUGUAGCAGUGAAAUGCGUAGAUAUCGUGAGGAAGACCAGUGGCGAAAGCGAAUCUCUGGACAGUUCCUGACGCUGAUGCACGAAGGCUAGGGGAGCAAACGGG
RNAcentral lists this ribosomal RNA (253 nucleotides) under uncultured bacterium. Its description in RNAcentral is "partial 16S ribosomal RNA". It matches the Rfam family "Bacterial small subunit ribosomal RNA", at positions 524 to 776 of the family's 1533-position model. The record is from RNAcentral.